AUCAGAAUCCAGCUCCAUUUUCUUCUGACUCCUUUCUGCUUCGGAGCAGCGACCGACUGAAAAACGAAAGCACUUCUCACAGCAUACACAACAAAGACCUGUGACACAACAUCCUGGCUGACUUUCUGUGGAAGCCCUUCCCUCAGACGUGAGACACAGAAGGUUAACUCUGUAACCACCACACUCUACAGAUACAGAAGGGUAUAUUUUACUCGAGGACCUAAAGGACAUAUUUCACCAGUGCUACCGGGUGAAUGGGCUGGGAGGCCACACAGCUACUGACCCUGCAGCCACUGAGUGGAUUUCUCUACGGUCCUCAGAUGCUCCUAACGGUGGUAAGUUGGACUAAUUAAAUGGAACCUUUUCCCCUCAAAAAGACUUCCCCCAGAAUCCUCAGUAAAAAUUGGAACAAGACGGAGAUAGACUGAAAUUGCAGAGUUUUGAAAAAUUAAAAAACAAGGUGCGAGACUGGCUUCAUUAUUAUCAAAUAAUGGAGGCAUUUAAAUUAGACAGGAAAAUUGGCUUCCAGGUGGAAAAAUCAAAAUUAGAAACAGAAUUGUUAGAACCCAAUACUAAGAAUCUGUCAAGAAUGUAUAACUUGCUGCUGAAAUGGAAUACUCAAGAUGAAACGGUAAAAUCGGCUAUGAUUAAAUGGGCACAGGACGUAGGACAUAACAUUAUGUUUGCUGACUGGGAACAGUUAUGGACCACAGGUAUGAAAUUUACGGCAUGUAAUGCCUUAAGAGAGAAUAUUAUGAAAAUGAUAUACAGGUGGUACAUAACCCCAGUCAAGCUUGCGAAAAUUUAUCACUUGCCCGAUAACAAAUGUUGGAAAUGUAAAGAAACUGAAGGUACAUUUUUUCACCUUUGGUGGACGUGCCCAAAGAUUAAGGUUUUCUGGGAAAUGAUAUAUAAUGAAUUAAAAAGGUAUUUAAGUAUACCUUUCCCAAGAAACCAGAGGCCUUUCUCCUGGGCAUAGUGGGCCAAAUGGUGUUAAAAAGGAUAGAACUUUCUUUAUGUAUGCAACAACAGCAGCAAGAAUACUCAUCGCAAAGUAUUGGAAGACACAAGAACUUCCCACGCUGGAGGAAUGGCAGAUGAAACUUAUGGACUAUAUGGAAUUGGCGGAAAUGACUGGCAGAAUCCGUGACCAGGGAGAAGAGUCGAUGGAGGAAGAUUGGAAGAAAUUCAAAGACUAUCUUCAGAAACACUGCAAAAUUAAGGAAUGUUAGAGUGAUGUUGGAUUGAAAAUAAGUGGUUUCCAGCUGUACAGGUUAAAGCUAGGAUAGAUUAAGAUUAAAGAUUAAGAUUGGGAAAAAUUUAAAGGUAUAUGACAUUAAAAACAAGGAUUAUGUUUAUGUUAUAUAGUUUAAUAUUUUAUUAAAUUAAAGAUUGGGUUUAAAAAGUGGAAAAGAAAUUGCUGGACAAAUAAUGUAGAUUGGAAUACAAAAGAGGGAGGUAUGAGGAAGUCCAGAAAAUAAGUAAUUUAAAAUUGGGAACGUAAAAGAGAGGUUGUUUUAAAUUGUUAUGUUGUGUGUUUUUAUUGUUAAAUUUUGUAUUCUGUUCUUUUUGUGUGUGUUGUUUUUUCUUUUUUCUUUGUUUAAAACUUUAAUAAAAAUUAUUAAAAAAAAAAAAAACAGAAUCCUCAGUAAAAAGACAUUUUACAAUGAACUGAAGAAAUGAUAGCUUGGAGUGAUAGCUUGGAGACAGCAGACUAGGCUUCCUGGCAGUAAGUAGAAGGGGCAGCUCUUUCUCUGUUGAGCAACACGUCUCUCCGUCUGAGGCUCAAUACUGUCAUUAUAUAAGGCCGAGUGGGGCCUUCUUGGCUGCUCACCCCAUUCUAGUGGGCUUCAAUGUACAAGAGGGCUCUGGGGUGGUUCUGAAGAGCAGCAGAGAUGUGGGUGGUGGUUCCUUGAGCCGUUAAGUGCAUUAUGUCCUGAUUGUUUAACAAAUGCUAAUGGGACGUGAGUUUAGCUGGAUGCUCUACAGAAUGUCCCAGACCUCAGUGGUUCUCUGAUGCUAUCUUUUGUGGAGGCAUGCCCGUUCCUUUGAAUGGGUUCUCUGACCAGCUCCACAUUUUUUGGUUGACUGAGCCAUGCAAACCAAAACAGGAGCAUGGUGUGCAAGUUCAGUAGCUCAUUUGGCUCUGAGGCCCAGAACAUACAGCUUUUAAUUUUAACAAUCCUAAGUGCUUGUGAUACCCCAGUAAAAAGGUAAAAGGACCCCUGGACGGUAAAGUCCAGUCAAAGGCAACUAUGGGGUUGAGGCGCUCAUCUCGCUUUCAGGCCGAGGGAGCUAGCAUUUGUCCACAGACAGCUUUCCGGGUCAUGUGGCCAGCAGGACUAAACUGCUUCUGGCACAACGGAACAACAUGACUGAAGCCAGAGUGCAAGGAAAUGCAAUGUCCCUUUCCGCCACAGCGGUACUUAUUUAUCUACUUGCACUGGUGCAUUUUUGGACUGCUAGGUUGGCCAGAGCUGGGACUGAUCCAACCCGAGAUUCUGAAAUCCUGUACAGAAUGUCCUAGAGCUCAUCUUCCAAAUGAUUCUGUCUUACAUGGGAAGGAAGUGUAUUGAGAGAGCAUUGUUGGCUGCCCACUCUCCACCUUAGAGCAGAUUUAUGCCACAAGGUGCCAUAGGAAGGCACUGGACAUAGUAAAGAUCCAUCGCAUCCUGGUCACUGUCUCUUCGAGCUCUUGCUGUCGGGACGGAGAUACAGGAUGAUGAAGACAAGAAUGAGCCGUCUUAAGAACAGCUUCUUCUCCAGAGCGAUCUCGGCCCUGAAUGGGAAGCCCGGACUUUGAAAGUCAUCUAAUCUCCCUU
This 2822-nucleotide long non-coding RNA is filed under the name Podarcis lilfordi (Lilford's wall lizard). Lineage: Eukaryota; Metazoa; Chordata; Lepidosauria; Squamata; Lacertidae. The record is from RNAcentral.